UACGGGGGGGGCAAGCGUUGUUCGGAAUUACUGGGCGUAAAGCGUGCGCAGGCGGUUCGCUAAGACCGAUGUGAAAUCCCCGGGCUUAACCUGGGAACUGCAUUGGUGACUGGCGGGCUAGAGUAUGGCAGAGGGGGGUAGAAUUCCACGUGUAGCAGUGAAAUGCGUAGAGAUGUGGAGGAAUACCGAUGGCGAAGGCAGCCCCCUGGGCCAAUACUGACGCUCAUGCACGAAAGCGUGGGGAGCAAACAGG
RNAcentral lists this ribosomal RNA (253 nucleotides) under uncultured bacterium. RNAcentral's name for it is "partial 16S ribosomal RNA". It matches the Rfam family "Bacterial small subunit ribosomal RNA", at positions 524 to 776 of the family's 1533-position model. The record is from RNAcentral.